GCAGUCGUGGCCGAGUGGUUAAGAUCGAUGGACUAGAAAUCCAUUGAAGCCUCCCCGCACAGGUUCGAAUCCUGUCGACUGCG
RNAcentral lists this transfer RNA (83 nucleotides) under Ixodes scapularis (black-legged tick). It matches the Rfam family "tRNA". From Rfam's summary of the family: Transfer RNA (tRNA) molecules are approximately 80 nucleotides in length. The record is from Rfam by way of RNAcentral. Lineage: Eukaryota; Metazoa; Arthropoda; Arachnida; Ixodida; Ixodidae.